Long non-coding RNA from Stegodyphus dumicola, 468 nucleotides. RefSeq lists it as uncharacterized. The record is from RefSeq and is a predicted model, not a curated record. Lineage: Eukaryota; Metazoa; Arthropoda; Arachnida; Araneae; Eresidae.
GUCGAUUCUAAUUGUGUUAGUUCGUCAAAUAUUUAUGACCGGCACUUAAUUCUAGGCUUUUGAUAUCCUGGCAUCACUUAUCUGGAACAUCUGCUGAUGAAGGAUCAUUUUUGGCCUACAUUGAUUUCACACGUGGGCAGCGGGCACUCGUCAGCAAGUUUCUGAAAAUGUACUGUGCAUGAAGAAGAUGUUAAUAAUAAAGCAAAGAGUUUUUGUCAUAAAGUGUACAUCCUUCAAAAUUUGUCAACAAAAAUUUCAAGCUAAAUUUCACAUCACACCACUAAUUAAGGCCGUAAUACUUAAAUUUACUAAGAAGUGAAAUCAGACUUUGCUAAAAAAAAUGUGUAUUUACGAGCUACAGGAGACUGCAGUUCUAAUACCUGCUGCAAUUACACAUGCCAUGUAGCACAUUACAUGUGCAUUUGUAUUACAUAUAGACUAAUAAAACAGAGGUAUACUAAAACUCGA